Molecule: ribosomal RNA, 389 nt
Filed under: uncultured bacterium
Lineage: Bacteria
Description: bacterial SSU rRNA
Rfam family: Bacterial small subunit ribosomal RNA
Source: RNAcentral
GACGAACGCUGGCGGCGUGCUUAACACAUGCAAGUCGAGCGGUAAGGCCCUUUCGGGGGUACACGAGCGGCGAACGGGUGAGUAACACGUGGGUGACCUGCCCUCAGCUCUGGGAUAAGCCUGGGAAACCGGGUCUAAUACCGGAUAUGACUCCAUGACGCAUGUUGUGGGGUGGAAAGCCUUGUGCGGCUGAGGAUGGGCCCGCGGCCUAUCAGCUUGUUGGUGGGGUGANGGCCUACCAAGGCGACGACGGGUAGCCGGCCUGAGAGGGCGACCGGCCACACUGGGACUGAGACACGGCCCAGACUCCUACGGGAGGCAGCAGUGGGGAAUCUUGCGCAAUGGGCGAAAGCCUGACGCAGCGACGCCGCGUGAGGGAUGACGGGCCU